This 508-nucleotide ribosomal RNA is filed under the name uncultured Glomus. RNAcentral's name for it is "SSU rRNA". It matches the Rfam family "Eukaryotic small subunit ribosomal RNA", at positions 569 to 1078 of the family's 1831-position model. Lineage: Eukaryota; Fungi; Glomeromycota; Glomeromycetes; Glomerales; Glomeraceae. The record is from RNAcentral.
AGCAGCCGCGGUAAUUCCAGCUCCAAUAGCGUAUAUUAAAGUUGUUGCAGUUAAAAAGCUCGUAGUUGAAUUUCGGGGUUAGUAGGUGGUCCAUGCCUCUGGUAUGUACUGGUCUCACUGAUUCCUCCUUCCUGAUGAGCCGUAAUGCCAUUAAUUUGGUGUUGCGGGGAAUUUGGACUGUUACUUUGAAAAAAUUAGAGUGUUUAAAGCAAGCUAACGCUUGAAUACAUUAGCAUGGAAUAAUGAAAUAGGACGUUCGAUCCUAUUUUGUUGGUUUCUAGGAUUGACGUAAUGAUUAAUAGGGAUAGUUGGGGGCAUUAGUAUUCAAUUGUCAGAGGUGAAAUUCUUGGAUUUAUUGAAGACUAACUACUGCGAAAGCAUUUGCCAAGGAUGUUUUCAUUAAUCAAGAACGAAAGUUAGGGGAUCGAAGACGAUCAGAUACCGUCGUAGUCUUAACCAUAAACUAUGCCGACUAGGGAUCGGAUGAUGUUAAUUUUUUAAUGACUCA